CCGGCGAUGUCCGAAUGGGGAAACCCAGUGCAAUUCGUUGCACUAUCGUUAACUGAAUACAUAGGUUAACGAGGCGAACCGGGGGAACUGAAACAUCUAAGUACCCCGAGGAAAAGAAAUCAACCGAGAUUCCCCCAGUAGCGGCGAGCGAACGGGGAGCAGCCCAGAGUCUGAAUCAGCUUGUGUGUUAGUGGAACGGUCUGGAAAGUCCGACGGUACAGGGUGAUAGUCCCGUACACCAAAAUGCACAGGCUGUGAACUCGAAGAGUAGGGCGGGACACGUGGUAUCCUGUCUGAAUAUGGGGGGACCAUCCUCCAAGGCUAAAUACUCCUGACUGACCGAUAGUGAACCAGUACCGUGAGGGAAAGGCGAAAAGAACCCCGGCGAGGGGAGUGAAAAAGAACCUGAAACCGUGUACGUACAAGCAGUGGGAGCACCUUCGGGUGUGACUGCGUACCUUUUGUAUAAUGGGUCAGCGACUUAUAUUCUGUAGCAAGGUUAACCGAAUAGGGGAGCCGCAGGGAAACCGAGUCUUAACUGGGCGUUAAGUUGCAGGGUAUAGACCCGAAACCCGGUGAUCUAGCCAUGGGCAGGUUGAAGGUUGGGUAACACUAACUGGAGGACCGAACCGACUAAUGUUGAAAAAUUAGCGGAUGACUUGUGGCUGGGGGUGAAAGGCCAAUCAAACCGGGAGAUAGCUGGUUCUCCCCGAAAGCUAUUUAGGUAGCGCCUCGUGAAUUCAUCUUCGGGGGUAGAGCACUGUUUCGGCUAGGGGGUCAUCCCGACUUACCAACCCGAUGCAAACUACGAAUACCGAAGAAUGUUAUCACGGGAGACACACGGCGGGUGCUAACGUCCGUCGUGAAGAGGGAAACAACCCAGACCGCCAGCUAAGGUCCCAAAGUCAUGGUUAAGUGGGAAACGAUGUGGGAAGGCACAGACAGCCAGGAUGUUGGCUUAGAAGCAGCCAUCAUUUAAAGAAAGCGUAAUAGCUCACUGGUCGAGUCGGCCUGCGCGGAAGAUGUAACGGGGCUAAACCAUGCACCGAAGCUGCGGCAGCGACACUAUGUGUUGUUGGGUAGGGGAGCGUUCUGUAAGCCUGCGAAGGUGGCCUGUGAGGGUUGCUGGAGGUAUCAGAAGUGCGAAUGCUGACAUAAGUAACGAUAAAGCGGGUGAAAAGCCCGCUCGCCGGAAGACCAAGGGUUCCUGUCCAACGUUAAUCGGGGCAGGGUGAGUCGACCCCUAAGGCGAGGCCGAAAGGCGUAGUCGAUGGGAAACAGGUUAAUAUUCCUGUACUUGGUGUUACUGCGAAGGGGGGACGGAGAAGGCUAUGUUAGCCGGGCGACGGUUGUCCCGGUUUAAGCAUGUAGGCGGAGGUUCCAGGUAAAUCCGGUACCUUUUAACGCUGAGGUGUGAUGACGAGGCACUACGGUGCUGAAGUAACAAAUGCCCUGCUUCCAGGAAAAGCCUCUAAGCAUCAGGUAACAUUGAAUCGUACCCCAAACCGACACAGGUGGUCAGGUAGAGAAUACCAAGGCGCUUGAGAGAACUCGGGUGAAGGAACUAGGCAAAAUGGUGCCGUAACUUCGGGAGAAGGCACGCUGAUAUGUAGGUGAAGCCCCUGCGGGUGGAGCUGAAAUCAGUCGAAGAUACCAGCUGGCUGCAACUGUUUAUUAAAAACACAGCACUGUGCAAACACGAAAGUGGACGUAUACGGUGUGACGCCUGCCCGGUGCCGGAAGGUUAAUUGAUGGGGUUAUCCGUAAGGAGAAGCUCUUGAUCGAAGCCCCGGUAAACGGCGGCCGUAACUAUAACGGUCCUAAGGUAGCGAAAUUCCUUGUCGGGUAAGUUCCGACCUGCACGAAUGGCGUAAUGAUGGCCAGGCUGUCUCCACCCGAGACUCAGUGAAAUUGAACUCGCUGUGAAGAUGCAGUGUACCCGCGGCAAGACGGAAAGACCCCGUGAACCUUUACUAUAGCUUGACACUGAACAUUGAGCCUUGAUGUGUAG
RNAcentral lists this ribosomal RNA (2011 nucleotides) under Klebsiella variicola. Its description in RNAcentral is "bacterial LSU rRNA". It matches the Rfam family "Bacterial large subunit ribosomal RNA", at positions 104 to 2141 of the family's 2925-position model. Lineage: Bacteria; Pseudomonadati; Pseudomonadota; Gammaproteobacteria; Enterobacterales; Enterobacteriaceae. The record is from RNAcentral.